Molecule: non-coding RNA, 87 nt
Organism: Schizophyllum commune H4-8
Lineage: Eukaryota; Fungi; Basidiomycota; Agaricomycetes; Agaricales; Schizophyllaceae
Source: Rfam
GCCCGGCUAGCUCAAUCGGCUAGAGCGUCAGACUUUUACGACCUUAGUUUAAUCUGAAGGCUGCGGGUUCGACCCCCGCGUUGGGCU